This 971-nucleotide unclassified non-coding RNA is filed under the name Hevea brasiliensis (rubber tree). The record is from RNAcentral. Lineage: Eukaryota; Viridiplantae; Streptophyta; Magnoliopsida; Malpighiales; Euphorbiaceae.
GCCUCUUACAACACUGAGAUAUCCUCAUUUCCAGAAAACUGAAAUUGAGAAGUUAGUGUCUGAAAUGCUUGACAGUGGAGUAAUUCAGCAUAGCACUAGUCCUUAUGCCUCCCCUGUUUUAUUAGUUAAGAAGAAGGACGGUUCUUGGAGAUUUUGUGUGGAUUAUAGAAAGUUAAAUGAUGCUACUGUUAAGAAUAAAUUUCCGAUUCCUAUUAUUGAGGAUUUAUUAGAUGAAUUGCAUGGUGCAACAAUCUUUUCUAAGAUAGACCUUAGAGCUGGAUACCAUCAGAUUCGAAUGGACACUCCAGAUGUUCCAAAGAUUGCAUUUAAAACAAAUAAUGGACACUUUGAGUUUAUAGUCAUGCCUUUUAGCCUUACAAAUGCACCAGAAACAUUUCAAGCCCUUAUGAAUGAUAUAUUCCAGCCAUUCCUUAGGAAAAGUGUGUUAGUUUUCUUCGAUGAUAUUCUCAUUUACAGUCCUGAUUUGGAGUCUCAUAUUUCCCAUUUGGAAGAUGUUUUUAAGGUUUUAGCAGAACAACAGCUUUAUGCUAAACUUUCUAAGUGUUCUUUUGCUCAAAGUCAAGUGGAGUACUUGGGGCAUACAAUAUCUGCAAAAGGGGUAGCUACAGAUCCUGACAAGAUAAGGGCUAUGGUUGAGUAGCCUGCGCCUAAGUCAGUCAAAGAAUUGAGGAGCUUUUUGGGGCUGACUGGAUAUUACAGAAAAUUCAUUAGGAAUUAUGCCCUUAUUAGUAAACCCUUGACUGAUUUACUAAAAAAAGAUGCAUUCCAGUGGUCUUCAAUAGCACAACAUGCCUUUGAGAGGUUGAGGAAUGCUAUGUCUUCUACCCCUGUGUUGGCUAUGCCAGAUUUUACUCAACCAUUCAUUGUUGAAACUGAUGCUAGUAGUCAAGGUAUGGGAGCUGUAUUGCAGCAACAAGGGCACCCUAUUGCCUUUAUUUCUAAGGCAUUUG